GUGGGGAAUUUUGGACAAUGGGCGAAAGCCUGAUCCAGCAAUGCCGCGUGCAGGAUGAAGGCCCUCGGGUUGUAAACUGCUUUUGUACGGAACGAAAAGCUUCUGGUUAAUACCCGGGAGUCAUGACGGUACCGUAAGAAUAAGCACCGGCUAACUACGUGCCAGCAGCCGCGGUAAUACGUAGGGUGCAAGCGUUAAUCGGAAUUACUGGGCGUAAAGCGUGCGCAGGCGGUCUUGUAAGACAGAGGUGAAAUCCCCGGGCUCAACCUGGGAACUGCCUUUGUGACUGCAAGGCUGGAGUGCGGCAGAGGGGGAUGGAAUUCCGCGUGUAGCAGUGAAAUGCGUAGAUAUGCGGAGGAACACCGAUGGCGAAGGCAAUCCCCUGGGCCUGCACUGACGCUCAUGCACGAAAGCGUGGGGAGCAAACAGGAUUAGAAACCCGGGUAGUCC
RNAcentral lists this ribosomal RNA (450 nucleotides) under uncultured bacterium. Its description in RNAcentral is "partial 16S ribosomal RNA". It matches the Rfam family "Bacterial small subunit ribosomal RNA", at positions 354 to 796 of the family's 1533-position model. The record is from RNAcentral.